Colius striatus (speckled mousebird) is the source of this 2358-nucleotide RNA transcript. It is a transcript of the gene named apolipoprotein O, with no coding region annotated. The record is from RefSeq and is a predicted model, not a curated record. The transcript is spliced from 11 exons. Lineage: Eukaryota; Metazoa; Chordata; Aves; Coliiformes; Coliidae.
AGCAGGACUUCUGGGAACCCAUGCCUCAAGCGGAGCCAGACUCUUCCAGUUUGGUGGCCGCAGGCUGUUAGAUCCACUCACCCUGUAACCUGAUGCAACAAAAGACAGGCUGUUGUAACUCUGCACAUGUUUAUCUGAGCAGUAACGUGAAUAUGAGACAUUGAAAGGUUUCCCGUUUGAGAUGAUACUUCUUGAAUUAAAUGUUGCUUUUGGUAAUUCGGCUAGGGGCCACCCCUGUUAGCCUGGGCUUGCUCUCCAUCCAGGUUUAUGCUUCCUCUUCAGAGAAGGAGACUUCCAAAAAGGAGUUGUUGAAAAUUGAGGAGCUGUCACUCUACUCCUCUCCAGCUCGUGAGACUAAAUAUGUGGAGAAUCCACAAACCCAACUGGAAGAAGGGGUUUCGCGUUUACGACACGUUAUGGAGCCAUAUACAGCCUGGUGUCAGGAACUUUAUGACAAAGCUAUGCCCAAAUUAGAAAAAGCUGCUGAGCAUGGUAGAGAGGGCUUUGAAUUUCUCCAAAACCCCCCUGCUGGGUUUUAUCCAAGGCUUGGUGUGAUAGGUUUUGCUGGAAUUGUUGGUUUGUUUCUUGCUAGAGGAUCAAAGAUAAAGAAGAUAGUGUAUCCUGUAGGUCUCAUGGGUAUUGGUGCCUCCAUGUAUUACCCUCAGCAAGCGGUUGCUAUUGCAAAGGUUGCUGGUUCGCAGCUGUAUGACUGGAGUCUUCAAGGAUAUAUUACUGUAGAAUCUCUUUGGAAGGAGAAUCCUAAGAAGAAGAAAUCUGGGGAAAAAAGUGAUAAGUACAGCAGUCUGAUGUUCUGAAGCUGACUGGUUGAAGGAUCCAUCUCUUCAGGAUGUUGGGUUGAAAGCCCUCAAAUCACAGAGUCACACAGAAUCACAGAAUCUCAAGGACUGGAAGGGACCUUGAAAGAUCAUCUAGUCCAGCCCCUCUACCAGAGCAGGACCACCGAGACCCAUCUCUGUUUAAUGCUGACUGAGUUUACCAGCAUUAAUGUCUGUCCUUACAUCAGAGGGAUGGACGAACUGUAGCAGCUUGAGGAUUUUUGUGCAACAGCAUAAACUUAAGGACUGUGGUUUUCUAUACAAUGCAUUAUAACUUUUGUGAAGAAAACUGCUUAAACAUGAGUAUUUGAGAGACACACUUCAAUACAUACCACUUCAAUUCUGGAUUCUCUCUCUUCCCAUGACAUUGAAUUGAGUACCCGUUGUUUGUACUGAAGUGGCCAGAAUGUGAAAAAACAGAACAGCACUAGAGCUCCCAAAACAUCCUUCUUUUCAGGUCUUGUUUCUUUCUUUUCUGUUUUUUGUUGGAUUGGGGUUUUUUUCUUAGCAAUCUGUCAUGUGAUUGUUUAAACAGCUUGAAGAGAUUGAGAGAACUCUUGUGGCUUAUUGUUUGCUUUUUCAUUCCUGACCAGUCUGCUGAUAGACACCGUCUGUGAUUUGCCCAUACUAAUAUAUAAGAUAUACUUUUGUUAUCCUAUAGAUGUAUAUUUUAGUGUGUGUAAAAAAAAUAUAUAUAUGAAAUAUUAAAAAAAUAUUAUUAUCUCUGGAUAUUUUAUUAAGUGCUAGCUAAUGAUAAGGCUGUUUCCAAAUGCAGAGUGGGUGCUGGUUCACUGCACUUGCACAUCAAUAAAAUUGUGGACCACGACUUUCCUCACCGGAAAGCUCUGGUGGCAGUUGUGAUGUUAAUGUGUUACCUGGCAAGCUUUACCAUCAGCAUCAUAACUUGUUACUGUAGCAAACCUUAAAUUGUGUUUUAAGAGGAGUUUUUCAGUCAUUUGUGUUUUAAAUAUUCUUUAAAACACAGCAUAAGCAGCUGAGAGAGCUUUGUUCUACAGCGUUUUUAAGACUUGUCUUCAGUAGCUCUUGAAGAGACGAGCAGAAGUUUGCUCAUCAGACCUGACAAUAGUCACCUCUCCUUUUAAUGUUUGAUAGAUGAUUCCAUGAUAGUAAGAACAACAAGAGUAAAACUUGUAAAAAAAUAUUGCUUCUUUUGUAUUGGAGCCUUAGGAUGAUCAGUGGCAAAUUUAAAUGUGUUAGAGGUGGGAAAGACAAAAUCUACUCUGCAAAAAGGUGGGGUUUUUAAGGACAAUUUAGAGUAUCACUUUUUAAAGUGCUUCUUAUUUCAGAGAGAGUUAAGUUCCAGCUCAGCUACAAAUAAAAGGAGAAGUUACUGAUUGACUAGGAGAGGAUGACUAAGGUAAAUUGGUGACAUUCUGUUCAUUCUAAGCAGUAGAACAACUUGCAAACAGAAAAGGACAGAAGAAAAGGGUGAUGCAGAUGGUGGCAAGGCCCUGGAAAUCCAUGCUGCUUCAAAUGAAGAGCGAGCCCGGAAGUAGAACAC